UCGACGGUUGCUGAUUACAUCGCACGAUUUAAGGAGUUUCAUAUAAAGUGCAGUGUAAUAGAAGAGGAGACUCUUACCCUCUCUAGGUUUCGGGCAGGACUCUGCGAGAAGAUCCAGAAAGAUCUACUCCGAGAGAUUACCACUCUUAACCAAGCAUACUAGUUGGCUCAAGAUGCAGAUACUUUCUUAAGACUACCUGUGGUGAGGCCUAUUGAUCCUUGACCACUAGCCCCAGGAGUCCGACCUAACUAAAAUUAUCUCCCACAACCUAGACCGCUUUUCAAUCCUCCUAAUCAGCCCGACCCAACCCAAGCACCGACUAGGACCUCCCCGAUGUCUGUCUCGAACCCUUCAACUGAUAAGGAAAAAGGAAUAUUAGGUUCCAACCCUCCUUCUCGAAGCCAAACCUAAUGCUUCUAGUGCCAAAAGUCCGGCUACAUCGCGUCCCAAUGCCCUGCCAAGACUUACUUGAUUACUAAACCAGAAGCCGGGAUUCAAGAGAUCGAAUAUGUCGAAAAAGUCUAUGAACCAAAUAUAAAGACUAUGUUGAAGACUUUGAAGAUGAACCCAUAUUAGACUUUGUCCAAAAUGAUUUCCAAAGGAAGACUAUU
This 611-nucleotide long non-coding RNA is filed under the name Phoenix dactylifera (date palm). Its description in RNAcentral is "long non-coding RNA (PDAC_LNC008125)". Lineage: Eukaryota; Viridiplantae; Streptophyta; Magnoliopsida; Arecales; Arecaceae. The record is from RNAcentral.